Molecule: ribosomal RNA, 465 nt
Filed under: uncultured bacterium
Lineage: Bacteria
Description: partial 16S ribosomal RNA
Rfam family: Bacterial small subunit ribosomal RNA
Source: RNAcentral
GAUGAACGCUGGCGGCGUGCUUAACACAUGCAAGUCGAACGGAAAGGCUCCUGCUUGCCGGGGUACUCGAGUGGCGAACGGGUGAGUAACACGUGGGUGAUCUGCCCUGCACUUCGGGAUAAGCCUGGGAAACUGGGGCUAAUACCGGAUAGGACCACCUUUUGGAUGGUGUGGUGGAAAGUUUUUCGGUGUGGGAUGAGCUCGCGGCCUAUCAGCUUGUUGGUGGGGUAAUGGCCUACCAAGGCGUCGACGGGUAGCCGGCCUGAGAGGGUGGACGGCCACAUUGGGACUGAGAUACGGCCCAGACUCCUACGGGAGGCAGCAGUGGGGAAUAUUGCACAAUGGGCGGAAGCCUGAUGCAGCGACGCCGCGUGGGGGAUGACGGCCUUCGGGUUGUAAACUGCUUUCGCUAGGGACGAAGCGCAAGUGACGGUACCCAAAGAAGAAGCACCGGCUAACUUCGUG